GACAGCAGCCGCCACGGGAAUACGAAGGGGGCUAGCGUUGUUCGGAUUUACUGGGCGUAAAGCGCACGUAGGCGGACUUUUAAGUCAGGGGUGAAAUCCCGGGGCUCAACCCCGGAACUGCCUUUGAUACUGGAAGUCUUGAGUAUGGUAGAGGUGAGUGGAAUUCCGAGUGUAGAGGUGAAAUUCGUAGAUAUUCGGAGGAACACCAGUGGCGAAGGCGGCUCACUGGACCAUUACUGACGCUGAGGUGCGAAAGCGUGGGGAGCAAACAGGAUUAGAUACCCCGGUAGUCCCUGUCUCUUAUAC
RNAcentral lists this ribosomal RNA (306 nucleotides) under uncultured bacterium. RNAcentral describes it as "partial 16S ribosomal RNA". It matches the Rfam family "Bacterial small subunit ribosomal RNA", at positions 507 to 807 of the family's 1533-position model. The record is from RNAcentral.